Anneissia japonica is the source of this 467-nucleotide long non-coding RNA. RefSeq lists it as uncharacterized. The transcript has 3 exons. The record is from RefSeq and is a predicted model, not a curated record. Lineage: Eukaryota; Metazoa; Echinodermata; Crinoidea; Comatulida; Comatulidae.
CUGCCCUUAAGGAGGCCAUGAAUCAACUCCUUGCGGACCGUCAAAGUCGUCGUGAGUCGUUUCAUUCCCGUGCUCGACAUUCGCCCCACACACCUAUUCCUCACUUGUUUUUGUCACUGCCAGACGAAUGUUGAAAGGACUUGGACUGGUAAUUGUAGGCCUACGGCACUUGGACUCAGUACUUUACCUGACGGAAUUCCGGUGAAUAUUUCACCUAUGGAGACAUAUUUUUAAUGGAAUCGAUUUGAACUAAUCCCCAACCCAUCAAAAUUUAGAUGGCGGAAGUGGAACACGUUGCCUGCGGACAGAAUGCAGACAAAAAGUGCACAAUCCGCAAUCGAUACUGUUUCAACCCAGUCAGCAUGUGGAAAUGAUAGUUCGGUUGCAGUUUGUAUAUGUUGGGAAAAUGUUGACGAGACAUGGACUGUUAAUUGUACGGGACUUGGACUCCGUACUUUACCUGACGG